ACGAACGCUGGCGGCGUGCUCCACCCCUGCCAGUCGCACGGAAAGGCCCUGCUUUUGUGGGGUGCUCGAGUGGCGAACGGGUGAGUAACACGUGAGUAACCUGCCCUUGACUUUGGGAUAACUUCAGGAAACUGGGGCUAAUACCGGAUAGGAGCUCCUGCUGCAUGGUGGGGGUUGGAAAGUUUCGGCGGUUGGGGAUGGACUCGCGGCUUAUCAGCUUGUUGGUGGGGUAGUGGCUUACCAAGGCUUUGACGGGUAGCCGGCCUGAGAGGGUGACCGGCCACAUUGGGACUGAGAUACGGCCCAGACUCCUACGGGAGGCAGCAGUGGGGAAUAUUGCACAAUGGGCGGAAGCCUGAUGCAGCAACGCCGCGUGCGGGAUGAAGGCCUUCGGGUUGUAAACCGCUUUCGCCUGUGACGAAGCGUGAGUGACGGUAAUGGGUAAAGAAGCACCGGCUAACUACGUG
RNAcentral lists this ribosomal RNA (467 nucleotides) under uncultured bacterium. RNAcentral's name for it is "partial 16S ribosomal RNA". It matches the Rfam family "Bacterial small subunit ribosomal RNA", at positions 29 to 507 of the family's 1533-position model. The record is from RNAcentral.